UAGGGAAUCUUCCGCAAUGGGCGAAAGCCUGACGGAGCAACGCCGCGUGAGUGAUGAAGGUCUUCGGAUCGUAAAACUCUGUUAUUAGGGAAGAACAAAUGUGUAAGUAACUAUGCACGUCUUGACGGUACCUAAUCAGAAAGCCACGGCUAACUACGUGCCAGCAGCCGCGGUAAUACGUAGGUGGCAAGCGUUAUCCGGAAUUAUUGGGCGUAAAGCGCGCGUAGGCGGUUUUUUAAGUCUGAUGUGAAAGCCCACGGCUCAACCGUGGAGGGUCAUUGGAAACUGGAAAACUUGAGUGCAGAAGAGGAAAGUGGAAUUCCAUGUGUAGCGGUGAAAUGCGCAGAGAUAUGGAGGAACACCAGUGGCGAAGGCGACUUUCUGGUCUGUACUGACGCUGAUGUGCGAAAGCGUGGGGAUCAAACAGG
RNAcentral lists this ribosomal RNA (428 nucleotides) under Actinomycetes bacterium. Its description in RNAcentral is "Actinobacteria bacterium partial 16S ribosomal RNA". It matches the Rfam family "Bacterial small subunit ribosomal RNA", at positions 355 to 776 of the family's 1533-position model. The record is from RNAcentral. Lineage: Bacteria; Bacillati; Actinomycetota; Actinomycetes.